AGGCAGCGGCCGGCAGCGGCCACGUCUGUUUGCGCUGAGGAUUGCAGGGAUGGCAGUGUGGUUACAAGCUCGAAUUCUGCGCGUGGGCUGUCUGAGUUAAACCCUUGCCACGAUCCCUGAGCCUUGUGGGAUGGGCAGACAGCUGCACACAGCCCCCGUGGCUAGGCUUCUCGACCAAUUUCUGAACAGUCCACUCUGGAGGGGUCGGAUUGGCACAGGUGGGCCAGACCUGGCUCCUCGGUGUGUUCCCGUCAUUGAGGGACUAAGAGAAGGGACCUUGAUGGGAGAAGACGGCCUGGAGAUUGGACAAAUAUAGAUGACAGCCUGGGGUGGCCCUGACCCCAGCUGAAUCCCAGCGCUACAUUAUCACAAUCCUCUUCACAAACACUUCCCCUGCAGGCACAGAGCUUGGGCUGUUUCCCUUUGCUUGGGGUUAAUACAUGCCUGAUAAUCACUGCAGGACUAACAUCGAGUGCGUCUGUGGUGGAGUCCCCGCCUGCUCCAGACUCUGUGCUCAGAAUUAGACUCGGACAUGCAAGGGGCGAGAGCAGAGGCCCAGAAACAGUGAAGCUGUGUGCUCAGGUUGCUCAGCUGUCAUAUGUUCCAGGGAAGCAGGUUCUUGUUGGCGUCGAAGAUAUGAGACCCUCAGCCUAGCGUGAACACCAGCACAUAGAGGCACUCAAGAAACACAAUGAAAACGGGAAGCUUCAGGCCUCAAGGGCCUUGCAGACUCCCGAUGCUGCUCUCAGUUUCUGAAGCUGUCAGCCCCUCUUGCGCUGUGUGUCCUGCUCUGAAGCUUGUGGCUUGUUUGCGGCACUCUAGUUUACCGCUGGGAGCUCAAGUCCUAGGAAAGCCACACCGUCAAGAUUCCGUAAGGGCGAUGGACUAAGGAGAACCGCUGAAAUUACCAUGAGUUGGACUAUUGAUCCCGAGUCAAGUGAUCUUGGGGUCUCUUCAGCCUCAAUAGUCACUCUUGCAUCCCAUGCCUGUCAGAUGAAGCCUUUGGACUUCGCUGACUUAACAGCCGCUACCAACCCCAAAGCUGAGAAUGUUGUCAGAUGACGUCUGUGGCUCUAGCAGAGGCUUCGCGGCUGUCCUGAGGCCGCUUGCCUGCCGUUGCCACCAGCGUGUUUGAGACGUUUGGACUCGAGACUUCCUUUGUUUUGUUUUGUUUUACCCUUUGAUUUUAUACUUAUAAAAACUUCAUGUAACUGGCAGCACAUUGGGUCACAGUAUUCAGGACA
This is a long non-coding RNA of Mesocricetus auratus (golden hamster), 1244 nucleotides long. RefSeq lists it as uncharacterized. The transcript is spliced from 3 exons. The record is from RefSeq and is a predicted model, not a curated record. NCBI's taxonomy places the organism in Eukaryota, Metazoa, Chordata, Mammalia, Rodentia, Cricetidae.